UACGGGGGUGGCGAGCGUUACUCGGAUUCAUUGGGUGUAAAGGGCAGGUAGGUGGCUAUGCAAGUUGUAGGUGAAAUCCUGUGGCUCAACCACAGAACUGCCUUCAAAACUGCAUAGCUUGAGGCUAAUAGAGGAGAGCGGAAUUCCCGGUGUAAGGGUGAAAUCUGUAGAUAUCGGGAGGAACACCAGUGGCGAAAGCGGCUCUCUGGAUUAGAUCUGACACUAAACUGCGAAAGCUAGGGUAGCAAACAGG
This 253-nucleotide ribosomal RNA is filed under the name uncultured bacterium. RNAcentral's name for it is "partial 16S ribosomal RNA". It matches the Rfam family "Bacterial small subunit ribosomal RNA", at positions 524 to 776 of the family's 1533-position model. The record is from RNAcentral.